UACGUAGGGGGCAAGCGUUAUCCGGAUUCAUUGGGCGUAAAGCGUGCGUAGGCGGUUUAUUAAGUCUGAAAUAAAAUCCCGAGGCUUAACCUCGGUUCGUUUCAGAUACUGGUAGACUUGAGUAUGAUAGGGGCAAACGGAAUUCCUAGUGUAGCGGUGAAAUGCGUAGAUAUUAGGAGGAACAUCGGUGGCGAAGGCGGUUUGCUGGGUCAUUACUGACGCUGAGGUACGAAAGCGUGGGUAGCAAAUA
RNAcentral lists this ribosomal RNA (250 nucleotides) under uncultured prokaryote. Its description in RNAcentral is "partial 16S ribosomal RNA". It matches the Rfam family "Bacterial small subunit ribosomal RNA", at positions 524 to 774 of the family's 1533-position model. The record is from RNAcentral.